UUUGCCUAGCAUUACAUAUCAGUUUGGUAACAAUUUGUUUCUCUGUGUAAAAGCUAUAUCAAUUCUCAAGCAGUAGUGUUGCAUUUCCUGCCUCUUGUAUGGUUAUGCAUGAUUCUUUGUUUAUAAAAGAAUAAUAUAGAAAAAGCUAUCAGCAAGAAUUAGGGGUGGGUAUGGGUUUGGCAGUAAAUGAUCCACAUGCCCAUUUGAAUAUUAUAUGGUUAUCCAUACCCAUUUAACCCUUAUUGG
Molecule: unclassified non-coding RNA, 246 nt
Filed under: Hevea brasiliensis (rubber tree)
Lineage: Eukaryota; Viridiplantae; Streptophyta; Magnoliopsida; Malpighiales; Euphorbiaceae
Source: RNAcentral